UUAAACCUACGGGACGCAGCAGUGAGGAAUAUUGGUCAAUGGGCGGGAGCCUGAACCAGCCAAGUCGCGUGAAGGAAGAAGGUACUUAGUAUUGUAAACUUCUUUUGUCGGGGAACAAAGGCGGAGACGCGUCUCCGGAUGAGUGUACCCGAAGAAAAAGCAUCGGCUAACUCCGUGCCAGCAGCCGCGGUAAUACGGAGGAUGCGAGCGUUAUCCGGAGUUAUUGGGUUUAAAGGGUGCGCAGGCGGGAGAUCAAGACAGCGGUAAAAUGUCGGGGCGCAACCACCGCCGGCCGGUGAAACUGG
RNAcentral lists this ribosomal RNA (305 nucleotides) under uncultured bacterium. Its description in RNAcentral is "bacterial SSU rRNA". It matches the Rfam family "Bacterial small subunit ribosomal RNA", at positions 333 to 636 of the family's 1533-position model. The record is from RNAcentral.